Molecule: long non-coding RNA, 341 nt
Organism: Chenopodium quinoa (quinoa)
Lineage: Eukaryota; Viridiplantae; Streptophyta; Magnoliopsida; Caryophyllales; Amaranthaceae
Exons: 2
Source: RefSeq, a predicted model, not a curated record
UUUUCUUUUUUCUUUUUCUCCUUUUUUUCCCUGUAACUUUCGUUCUUUGUUCCCUUUCUUUUGUCAAUUCUCACAAAGACACAAACUGCUAAAACCCUUACUAUCUUUCUCCAUUUUUUCUCACUUCUCUGGCCGCCGCACCGAGACACGCCUGUCGCCACUGCUCACAGACGAGGCCAUGAAAGCGACGCCAACGAUCUGCUGCUAGCCUGCGUCGAACUCGAGUGUACUAGUGUGUGACCCUGAAAAGUUUGGAGCAUUUUGUAAUUUUUAUCAAAAAAAAAAUGUAUUGUAUCUUGACAUUUAAUUGAAGUUAUGUAUUGUUGUAUCGGAUUAUUUUA